RNAcentral lists this transfer RNA (67 nucleotides) under Nortia carinicollis. RNAcentral describes it as "tRNA-Ser". The record is from RNAcentral. Lineage: Eukaryota; Metazoa; Arthropoda; Insecta; Coleoptera; Cerambycidae.
GAAAUAUGUUUAUCGGAAGUAGGCUUCUAACCAAACUUUCAAGCGAUGAAAACUCGUUUAUGUUUCU